This 407-nucleotide ribosomal RNA is filed under the name uncultured bacterium. Its description in RNAcentral is "partial 16S ribosomal RNA". It matches the Rfam family "Bacterial small subunit ribosomal RNA", at positions 30 to 526 of the family's 1533-position model. The record is from RNAcentral.
AUUGAACGCUGGCGGCAGGCCUAACACAUGCAAGUCGAGCGGAGCGGCGGAUGGGUGAGUAAUGCCUAGGAAUCUGCCGGGUAGUGGUGGAUAACGUCCGGAUACGGGCGCUAAUACCGCAUACUAUCAGAUGAGCCUGGGUCGGAUUAGCUAGUUGGUGGGGUAAUGGCCUACCAAGGCGACGAACCGUAACUGGUCUGAGUGGAUGAUCAGUCAAACUAGAACUGAGACACGGUCCAGACUCCGACGGUAGGCAGCUGUGGCGAAGAUUGGACAAUGGGCGAAAGCCUGAUCCAGCCAUGCCGCGUGUGUUAAGAAGGUCUUCGGAUUGUAAAGCACUUUAAGUUGGGAGGCGUUUCCAACAGAAUAAGCACCGGCUAACUUCGCGCGAGCAGCCGCGGUAAUAC